Molecule: ribosomal RNA, 292 nt
Filed under: uncultured prokaryote
Description: partial 16S ribosomal RNA
Rfam family: Bacterial small subunit ribosomal RNA
Source: RNAcentral
GUGCCAGCAGCCGCGGUAAUACAGAGGUCUCAAGCGUUGUUCGGAUUCAUUGGGCGUAAAGGGUGCGUAGGCGGCGCGGUAAGUCGGGUGUGAAAUCUCGGAGCUUAACUCCGAAACUGCAUUCGAUACUGCCGUGCUUGAGGACUGGAGAGGAGACUGGAAUUUACGGUGUAGCGGUGAAAUGCGUAGAUAUCGUAAGGAAGACCAGUGGCGAAGGCGGGUCUCUGGACAGUUCCUGACGCUGAGGCACGAAGGUCAGGGGAGCAAACGGGAUUAGAUACCCCGGUAGUCC